Molecule: non-coding RNA, 72 nt
Organism: Phrynosoma platyrhinos (Desert horned lizard)
Lineage: Eukaryota; Metazoa; Chordata; Lepidosauria; Squamata; Phrynosomatidae
Source: the annotation of a GenBank genome assembly
GCCAGCAUGGUGUAGUGGUUUGAGCACUGGACUAUGAUUCUGAAGACCUGGGUUCAAUUUCUGGUUCGGCCA